AAAAAGAUAAGCUAAAUAAGCUAGUGGGUUCAUACCCCAUUUAUGAAGGUCGAGUCCUUCUCUUUUUA
Molecule: transfer RNA, 68 nt
Filed under: Euphausia superba (Antarctic krill)
Lineage: Eukaryota; Metazoa; Arthropoda; Malacostraca; Euphausiacea; Euphausiidae
Description: tRNA-Met
Rfam family: tRNA
About the family: Transfer RNA (tRNA) molecules are approximately 80 nucleotides in length.
Source: RNAcentral